CGAGUCUGCCUUGAAGAUCGGAGUGCUUGCACUCUGUGAAACAAGAUACAGGCUAGCGGCGGACGGGUGAGUAACACGUGGGUAACCUGCCCAAGAGAUCGGGAUAACACCUGGAAACAGAUGCUAAUACCGGAUAACAACAGAUGAUGCCUAUCAACUGUUUAAAAGAUGGUUCUGCUAUCACUCUUGGAUGGACCUGCGGUGCAUUAGCUAGUUGGUAGGGUAACGGCCUACCAAGGCGAUGAUGCAUAGCCGAGUUGAGAGACUGAUCGGCCACAUUGGGACUGAGACACGGCCCAAACUCCUACGGGAGGCAGCAGUAGGGAAUCUUCCACAAUGGACGCAAGUCUGAUGGAGCAACGCCGCGUGAGUGAAGAAGGGUUUCGGCUCGUAAAGCUCUGUUGUUGGUGAAGAAGGACGGGGGUAGUAACUGACCUUUGUUUGACGGUAAUCAAUUAGAAAGUCACGGCUAACUACGUGCCAGCAGCCGCGGUAAUACGUAGGUGGCAAGCGUUGUCCGGAUUUAUUGGGCGUAAAGCGAGUGCAGGCGGUUCGAUAAGUCUGAUGUGAAAGCCUUCGGCUCAACCGGAGAAUUGCAUCAGAAACUGUCGAGCUUGAGUACAGAAGAGGAGAGUGGAACUCCAUGUGUAGCGGUGAAAUGCGUAGAUAUAUGGAAGAACACCGGUGGCGAAGGCGGCUCUCUGGUCUGUUACUGACGC
Molecule: ribosomal RNA, 719 nt
Filed under: uncultured bacterium
Lineage: Bacteria
Description: bacterial SSU rRNA
Rfam family: Bacterial small subunit ribosomal RNA
Source: RNAcentral